This 481-nucleotide ribosomal RNA is filed under the name uncultured bacterium. RNAcentral describes it as "partial 16S ribosomal RNA". It matches the Rfam family "Bacterial small subunit ribosomal RNA", at positions 30 to 507 of the family's 1533-position model. The record is from RNAcentral.
UUGAACGCUGGCGGCAUGCUUUACACAUGCAAGUCGAACGGUAACAGCACUUCGGUGGCUGACGAGUGGCGAACGGGUGAGUAAUACAUCGGAACGUGCCUAGUAGUGGGGGAUAACUACUCGAAAGAGUAGCUAAUACCGCAUGAGAUCUAAGGAUGAAAGCAGGGGACCUUCGGGCCUUGCGCUACUAGAGCGGCUGAUGGCAGAUUAGGUAGUUGGUGGGAUAAAAGCUUACCAAGCCGACGAUCUGUAGCUGGUCUGAGAGGACGACCAGCCACACUGGGACUGAGACACGGCCCAGACUCCUACGGGAGGCAGCAGUGGGGAAUUUUGGACAAAGGGCGCAAGCCUGAUCCAGCAAUGCCGCGUGCAGGAUGAAGGCCUUCGGGUUGUAAACUGCUUUUGUACGGAACGAAAAGCCCUCUUCUAAUACAGGAGGGUCAUGACGGUACCGUAAGAAUAAGCACCGGCUAACUACGUG